Molecule: ribosomal RNA, 468 nt
Filed under: uncultured bacterium
Lineage: Bacteria
Description: partial 16S ribosomal RNA
Rfam family: Bacterial small subunit ribosomal RNA
Source: RNAcentral
GACGAACGCUGGCGGCGUGCCUAACACAUGCAAGUCGAACGGAAAGGCCCGGCUUUUGUGGGGAGCGCGAGUGGCGAAGGGGGGAGCAACACGUGAGUAACCAGUAACUGACCGAGGGAGAAGUUAAGGAAACAGGGGCUAAUACCGGAAAGGAGCUAUUGCUGCAGGGUGGGGGCUGGUAGGUUUCGGUGGUUGGGGAUGGACUAGCGGCCUAUCAGCUUGUUGGGGGGGUAGUGGCUUACCAAGGCUUUGACGGGUAGCCGGCCUGCGAGGGUGACCGGCCCCGUUACGACUGCGAUACGGCCCAGCCUCCUACGGUACGCAACGGUGGAGAGUAUUACACAAUAGGCGGGGGCCUGGUGCGACAACGCCGCGUGCGGUAUGACGGCCUUCGGUUUGUGAACCACUUUCGCCUGUGACGAGACGUGAGUGACGGUACUGGGUGAAUAAGCACCGGCUAACUACGUG